RNAcentral lists this ribosomal RNA (254 nucleotides) under uncultured bacterium. Its description in RNAcentral is "partial 16S ribosomal RNA". It matches the Rfam family "Bacterial small subunit ribosomal RNA", at positions 524 to 776 of the family's 1533-position model. The record is from RNAcentral.
UACGUAGGGGGCGAGCGUUGUCCGGAAUUAUUGGGCGUAAAGAGCUCGUAGGCGGCUUGGCAAGUCGGAUGUGAAAACUCCAGGCUCAACCUGGAGCCGCCAUUCGAUACUGCUAUGGCUAGAGUCCGGUAGGGGAGUGUGGAAUUCCCGGUGUAGCGGUGAAAUGCGCAGAUAUCGGGAGGAACACCGAUGGCGAAGGCAGCACUCUGGGCCGGCACUGACGCUGAGGAGCGAAAGCGUGGGUAGCAAACAGG